UACACACCGCCCGUCAAGUGAUGGGAGUUGGUUCCACCCGAAGCCGGGGCGCUAACCGCAAGGAAGCAGCCGACCACGGUGGGAUCAGCGACUGGCACU
RNAcentral lists this ribosomal RNA (99 nucleotides) under uncultured bacterium. RNAcentral's name for it is "partial 16S ribosomal RNA". It matches the Rfam family "Bacterial small subunit ribosomal RNA", at positions 1384 to 1482 of the family's 1533-position model. The record is from RNAcentral.